RNAcentral lists this transfer RNA (51 nucleotides) under Candidatus Protofrankia californiensis. RNAcentral's name for it is "Candidatus Frankia californiensis tRNA". It matches the Rfam family "tRNA", at positions 1 to 48 of the family's 71-position model. Rfam says of the family: Transfer RNA (tRNA) molecules are approximately 80 nucleotides in length. The record is from Rfam by way of RNAcentral. Lineage: Bacteria; Bacillati; Actinomycetota; Actinomycetes; Frankiales; Frankiaceae.
GGGGCGGUAGCUCAGUCGGUUAGAGCAGCGGACUCAUAAUCCGUCGGUCGU